UACGUAGGUGGCAAGCGUUGUCCGGAUUUACUGGGUGUAAAGGGCGUGCAGCCGGGAAGACAAGUCAGAUGUGAAAUCCCGCGGCUCAACCGCGGAACUGCAUUUGAAACUGUUUUUCUUGAGUACCGGAGAGGUCAUCGGAAUUCCUUGUGUAGCGGUGAAAUGCGUAGAUAUAAGGAAGAACACCAGUGGCGAAGGCGGCUUGCUGGACUGAAACUGACGCUGAGGCUCGAAAGCGUGGGGAGCAAACAGG
Molecule: ribosomal RNA, 253 nt
Filed under: uncultured bacterium
Lineage: Bacteria
Description: partial 16S ribosomal RNA
Rfam family: Bacterial small subunit ribosomal RNA
Source: RNAcentral